AUGCCUUUGGUCUCCGUCCUCAUCUGGACUCUCCUCUGCUGCUGCUUCACAGAGUCCAGAGGCCAGGUCACAGUGACUCAGCCUGGAGCAGUGAGCUCUGAUCUGGGAGCCUCCACCACCAUCACAUGUACCACCAGUCAGAAUGUUUAUGCCUCUGACAAUUUAGCCUGGUACCAACAGAGAGAUGGAGAAACUCCUAAGGUUCUCGUUAAAUAUGCCACCACUCGACAAUCAGGGAUUUCCAGUCGUUUUUCAGGCAGUGGAUCAAACUCUCAUUUCACUCUGACCAUCAGUGAUGUUCAGGCUGAAGAUGCAGCAGUUUAUUACUGUCAGAGUUAUCACUAUAUCAACAGUCAGGAAGUGUUCACACAGUGAAAAACAGUCGUACAAAAACCUCCUUCAGACUGAACAGAAACUGAACUGAUUCAGUUCAAUGAACACAGUGUAUGAACAAGCACUAAUACACACAAUAGUUCAAAUG
Molecule: non-coding RNA, 481 nt
Organism: Sphaeramia orbicularis (orbiculate cardinalfish)
Lineage: Eukaryota; Metazoa; Chordata; Actinopteri; Kurtiformes; Apogonidae
Source: the annotation of a RefSeq genome assembly